AGAAGUGGUCCUGUCACAUACCUAACUAUCUUCUUUACCUCUGAUGCAUCUGAUACCUGAUUUAUGUUUGAGAUGGAGCAUCUCAACACUGAAAGAAAUGUAGUAUUUUAGUAAAAGCCAUAACAGAGUCAACGGGAUCAAAAAGAUUGUAUGUAAUCUCAAACUGCAAAAAUUAAAUAAUAAAAAAAAAAAAAGAAAAAACUUUUAGAAGUAAAACUGGUUCUUAACCUUUACAGUAGGGAAUUAGAAGGAAACUUCUGUUUAGCAUUCUGAUAUGUAAUGCUUCAAGGCAAAACACUGAAAGUAAUGAGAGGCAAUCAUUAUGCUCUGAGAGAAAAUCCUGGGAGUAGAAGGAGCUUUCUCACUAACAACCAGUUCACUCCAGUAGACCAGGAGUUGUUUGGAAGUGAAAGACCAGGAAUGAGAGCUGUAGCUUCACAAAGAUUUUUGCUGGAAGAGCUAGUGAAGUAUCUACGUAUGCAAUAGGUCAAGAGCAUCAUUAAGCUCUAAUCUCUUGGAGGAGAAAAUGCAGGUGAGAAAACCUGCGUUAAGGGAUUUAAGUGCUCUGAGAUGGGAUUCAGGAUGAAGAUAGGUCUGUUGUGUCUGUUGCUGCUUUUCUGUCUCUAAUUGGCCAGUUCUUUACCAGCAGUACCUGAAAACUCAUCUGCUUCAGGAAUCGCUGAGGAGUUCCUUCUGUUAUACUGUAGCCAAUAACCUGAAAUUCAUUUUCUCAUAUGGGUAGAAUUUGAUAGAUAUCAAAUAUCAAUAAAAUUAAUAAAACUUAUAUUUGGCAU
This 794-nucleotide long non-coding RNA is filed under the name Gallus gallus (chicken). RNAcentral describes it as "lncRNA (ENSGALG00010002675.1)". The record is from RNAcentral. Lineage: Eukaryota; Metazoa; Chordata; Aves; Galliformes; Phasianidae.